UGGGGAAUAUUGCACAAUGGGCGCAAGCCUGAUGCAGCGACGCCGCGUGAGGGAUGACGGCCUUCGGGUUGUAAACCUCUUUCAGCAGGGACGAAGCGCGAGUGACGGUACCUGCAGAAGAAGCACCGGCCAACUACGUGCCAGCAGCCGCGGUAAUACGUAGGGUGCGAGCGUUGUCCGGAAUUACUGGGCGUAAAGAGCUCGUAGGCGGUUUGUCGCGUCGUCUGUGAAAUUCUGCAGCUUAACUGCAGGCGUGCAGGCGAUACGGGCAGACUUGAGUACUACAGGGGAGACUGGAAUUCCUGGUGUAGCGGUGAAAUGCGCAGAUAUCAGGAGGAACACCGGUGGCGAAGGCGGGUCUCUGGGUAGUAACUGACGCUGAGGAGCGAAAGCGUGGGUAGCGAACAGGAUUAGAUACCCUGGUAGUCCACGCCGUAAACGGUGGGUACUAGGUGUGGGUUCCAUUUCACGGGAUCCGUGCCGUAGCUAACGCAUUAAGUA
RNAcentral lists this ribosomal RNA (501 nucleotides) under uncultured bacterium. Its description in RNAcentral is "partial 16S ribosomal RNA". It matches the Rfam family "Bacterial small subunit ribosomal RNA", at positions 355 to 866 of the family's 1533-position model. The record is from RNAcentral.